Molecule: ribosomal RNA, 752 nt
Filed under: uncultured beta proteobacterium
Lineage: Bacteria; Pseudomonadati; Pseudomonadota; Betaproteobacteria
Description: bacterial LSU rRNA
Rfam family: Bacterial large subunit ribosomal RNA
Source: RNAcentral
UCUGGAGAUAGCUGGUUCUCUCCGAAAGCUAUUUAGGUAGCGCGUCGUGUAUCACUUCCGGGGGUAGAGCACUGUAAUGGUUGCGGGGGUCAUUGCGACUUACCGCGCCAUAGCAAACUCCGAAUACUGGAAAGUGCGAGCACGGCAGACAGACAGUGGGUGCUAACGUCCAUUGUCGAGAGGGAAACAACCCAGACCGCCGAUUAAGGUCCCCAAGACACAGUUAAGUGGGAAACGAGGUGGGAAGGCUUAGACAGCCAGGAGGUUGGCUUAGAAGCAGCCACCCUUUAAAGAAAGCGUAAUAGCUCACUGGUCGAGUCGUCCUGCGCGGAAAAUGUAACGGGGCUCAAACUGUGCACCGAAAUCGCGGAUCUCGUAAGAGAUGGUAGGAGAGCGUUCCGUAGGCCGUUGAAGGUGGGAUGUGAACCCUGCUGGAGGUAUCGGAAGUGCGAAUGCUGACAUGAGUAGCGAUAAAGCGGGUGAAAGGCCCGCUCGCCGAAAGCCCAAGGUUUCCUGCGCAACGUUCAUCGGCGCAGGGUGAGUCGGCCCCUAAGGCGAGGCCGAAAGGCGUAGUCGAUGGGAAACAGGUUAAUAGUCCUGUACCUUUAUGCAAUGCGAUGGGGGGACGGAGAAGGUUAGGUGGGCCGGGCGUUGGAUGUCCCGGUUUAAGUGUGUAGGCGUGCCCGGCAGGCAAAUCCGCUGGGCUUAGUCGAGGCACGAUGACGCAAGGCUCCUCGGAGCCCCAAGCCACU